UACGUAGGGGGCAAGCGUUGUCCGGACUUACUGGGCGUAAAGAGCGCGCAGGCGGUCGUUCAAGUCGCGUGUGAAAGCCCCCGGCUCAACUGGGGAGGGUCACGCGAUACUGAUCGACUCGAAGGCAGGAGAGGGUAGUGGAAUUCCCGGUGUAGUGGUGAAAUGCGUAGAUAUCGGGAGGAACACCAGUGGCGAAGGCGACUACCUGGCCUGUUCUUGACGCUGAGGCGCGAAAGCUAGGGGAGCAAACGGG
This 253-nucleotide ribosomal RNA is filed under the name uncultured bacterium. Its description in RNAcentral is "partial 16S ribosomal RNA". It matches the Rfam family "Bacterial small subunit ribosomal RNA", at positions 524 to 776 of the family's 1533-position model. The record is from RNAcentral.